GCGGGUGUAGUUCAGUGGUAGAACGUCAGCUUCCCAAGCUGAAUGUCGUGGGUUCGAUCCCCAUCGCCCGCUCCA
Molecule: transfer RNA, 75 nt
Filed under: Hyphomicrobiales bacterium
Lineage: Bacteria; Pseudomonadati; Pseudomonadota; Alphaproteobacteria; Hyphomicrobiales
Also listed under: 3 other names
Description: Rhizobiales bacterium (soil metagenome) tRNA-Gly
Rfam family: tRNA
About the family: Transfer RNA (tRNA) molecules are approximately 80 nucleotides in length. Their secondary structure includes four short double-helical elements and three loops (D, anti-codon, and T loops).
Source: RNAcentral